AUGGCAUUAAUAUCUAUGGAUACAUUUGCUGAAUUUCUGGAACGUGAUUUGAAUUUGCCUUAUUUCCCUAGAGGCGUGCCACUCCAGGAGUCUCCCUUGGUGUUGGUUGAGAUUUUUGUGGGACUUGCUGGUCAUGGGGAAUGUGAACAACCAACGCCAUGGAGGGUGGGGCAGUGGAAAAACCUCCAGAUUCAUAGUAUCCUUCUCAGAAGACCAGGGCUGGGAAUGCUGUAUGGAGGGGACAGAAGUAGCCCACCAUUAUUCACAUCGGCCUCAUGCAGAGACUACCCUAAGGAAGCAAGGUCCCUUCCAUUCCUCAUCAGAAAACAGUGGAAUAAGCCCAGGCUUCAUGUUUGGAAGAUUUCUAAAGACAGGCAUCCAUCUACCCAGGAACCUUAGCAAGCCUUCUGGAUCCUCUGAGGAAAAUCCCGAAGUGGAGAGACGGGGAGGAGCAGAAGGAGAUGUCACAGUUCUCGGCCACACUCCACGGAGGGAAGCUGGAGGCACUCAGACUGUUCCAGAUGUCAGAGUCACAGCAUGA
RNAcentral lists this long non-coding RNA (541 nucleotides) under Monodelphis domestica (gray short-tailed opossum). Its description in RNAcentral is "lncRNA (ENSMODG00000031729.2)". The record is from RNAcentral. Lineage: Eukaryota; Metazoa; Chordata; Mammalia; Didelphimorphia; Didelphidae.